AAUAAAAUAAGUUUUAAAGGUGUUUUUACUUAAUAGGGAAAGUGGUGAAAAUCCACUACAGCCCCCGCUACUGUAAAUGUGGACAAUCCCAUAAAAAAGCCACUGUCAUUUAGAUGGGAAGGAUAUGGGAGAGGAUGAAACAUGAGUCAGGAGACCUGCCUUGAAAUGAUAGUUACC
Molecule: non-coding RNA, 177 nt
Filed under: Garciella nitratireducens
Lineage: Bacteria; Bacillati; Bacillota; Clostridia; Eubacteriales; Eubacteriaceae
Also listed under: 1 other name
Source: RNAcentral